RNAcentral lists this ribosomal RNA (482 nucleotides) under uncultured bacterium. RNAcentral describes it as "bacterial SSU rRNA". It matches the Rfam family "Bacterial small subunit ribosomal RNA", at positions 29 to 487 of the family's 1533-position model. The record is from RNAcentral.
AACUAACGCUGGCGGCGUGCCUAACACAUGCAAGUCGUACGAGAAAGUUGGCUUCGGCCGAUGAGUACAGUGGCGCACGGGUGAGUAACGCGUGGAUAAUCUGCCCUUAAGUGUGGAAUAACGUACCGAAAGGUGCGCUAAUACCGCAUAAUGCCUGGCAACAUAAGUUGUCCGGCCAAAGAAGGCCUCUGCUUGCAAGCUUUCGCUAAAGGAUGAGUCCGCGUACCAUUAGCUAGUUGGUGGGGUAACGCCUACCAAGGCGACGAUGGUUAGCUGGUCUGAGAGGAUGAUCAGCCACACUGGAACUGAGACACGGUCCAGACUCCUACGGGAGCAGCAGUGAGGAAUAUUGCGCAAUGGGGGCAACCCUGACGCAGCAACGCCGCGUGAGUGAGGAAGGUUUUCGGACUGGUAAAGCUCUGUCGAGCGGGAAGAAGUGUACCAUGGCUAAUAUCCAUGAUAUUUGACGGUACCGCUAGAGG